RNAcentral lists this ribosomal RNA (435 nucleotides) under uncultured bacterium. RNAcentral describes it as "partial 16S ribosomal RNA". It matches the Rfam family "Bacterial small subunit ribosomal RNA", at positions 29 to 507 of the family's 1533-position model. The record is from RNAcentral.
AGCGAACGCUGGCGGCAGGCUUAACACAUGCAAGUCGAGCGGGCACUUUCGGGUGUCAGCGGCGGACGGGUGAGUAACGCGUGGGAACGUGCCCUCUGGUUCGGAAUAACUCAGGGAAACUUGAGCUAAUACCGGAUACGCCCUUUUGGGGAAAGGCUUGCUGCCGGAGGAUCGGCCCGCGUCUGAUUAGCUAGUUGGUGAGGUAACGGCUCACCAAGGCGACGAUCAGUAGCUGGUCUGAGGGGAUGAUCAGCCACACUGGGACUGAGACACGGCCCAGACUCCUACGGGAGGCAGCAGUGGGGAAUAUUGGACAAUGGGCGCAAGCCUGAUCCAGCCAUGCCGCGUGAGUGAUGAAGGCCUUAGGGUUGUAAAGCUCUUUUAUCCGGGACGAUAAUGACGGUACCGGAGGAAUAAGCCCCGGCUAACUUCGUG